RNAcentral lists this ribosomal RNA (476 nucleotides) under uncultured soil bacterium. Its description in RNAcentral is "bacterial SSU rRNA". It matches the Rfam family "Bacterial small subunit ribosomal RNA", at positions 26 to 489 of the family's 1533-position model. The record is from RNAcentral.
AGAUUGAACGCUGGCGGCAUGCCUUACACAUGCAAGUCGAACGGCAGCAUGACGUGUAGCAAUACACGUUGAUGGCGAGUGGCGAACGGGUGAGUAAUAUAUCGGAACAUGUCCUGUAGCGGGGGAUAACCUAUCGAAAGAUGGACUAAUACCGCAUACGCUCUAUGGAGGAAAGCGGGGGUCGCAAGACCUCGCACUAUAGGAGUGGCCGAUAUCGGAUUAGCUAGUUGGUGGGGUAAAAGCCCACCAAGGCGACGAUCCGUAGCUGGUCUGAGAGGAUGAUCAGCCACACUGGAACUGAGACACGGUCCAGACUCUACGGGAGCAGCAGGUGGGGAAUUUUGGACAAGUGGCGCAAGCCUGAUCCAGCCAUGCCGCGUGAGUGAAGAAGGCCUUCGGUUGUAAGCUCUUCUAGCGAGAACGAAAGUAGGUUCGUGCUAACUAACCGAACGAUCGAGUGACGGUACCUAGAAGAA